Molecule: ribosomal RNA, 254 nt
Filed under: uncultured bacterium
Lineage: Bacteria
Description: partial 16S ribosomal RNA
Rfam family: Bacterial small subunit ribosomal RNA
Source: RNAcentral
CACGUAGGGGGCAAGCGUUGUCCGGAUUUAUUGGGCGUAAAGAGCUCGUAGGCGGCUUAGUAAGUCGGGUGUGAAACCUCCAGGCUCAACCUGGAGACGCCACCCGAUACUGCUGUGGCUAGAGUCCGGUAGGGGAGAGUGGAAUUCCUGGUGUAGCGGUGAAAUGCGCAGAUAUCAGGAAGAACACCCGUGGCGAAGGCGGCUCUCUGGGACGGUACUGACGCUGAGACGCGAAAGCGUGGGGAGCGAACAGG